GAAAGGUGACUCAGGAGCCUGGUCGGUAGGGGGGAUUCGCAGAGCGCUCAUCUCUGCCUUUUCUUAGUCUCUUCAUGCUUGGAUAUUUAUUUAUUUGCUUUAGCUGGAGACAGCAGGGAGGUGGGUGAUGCCUUUCUUACUCUGCAGCACUGGAGCCUGACCUGGGCCUGUUGGCUGGAUGCUCUAGGCCGACUAGCUCCGUGUGACCCCAGAGCCUUCCUCCAUUCUGGUCUAGAAAACACGCGGCAGAUUAGACCCCGUGUUCUUCAUGCAGCAACGGCAAGAUGAAAAUCUGUCAUAGAAGGGGGUUGGGGAUUUAGCUCAGUGGUAGAGCGCUUGCCUAGGAAGCGCAAGGCCCUGGGUUCGGUCCUGAGCUCCGGAAAAAAAAAGAACCAAAAAAAAAAAAA
This 407-nucleotide long non-coding RNA is filed under the name Rattus norvegicus (Norway rat). RNAcentral describes it as "long non-coding RNA NONRATT016702". The record is from RNAcentral. Lineage: Eukaryota; Metazoa; Chordata; Mammalia; Rodentia; Muridae.